RNAcentral lists this unclassified non-coding RNA (366 nucleotides) under uncultured bacterium. RNAcentral describes it as "contains 16S-23S intergenic spacer region". The record is from RNAcentral.
UCCCAACAGAGUUGGGCAGUUCCCAGUGACACUUGUAACACGGGGUAAGGGUUGCGCUCGUUAACCAACUUAAUGGAACAUCUCAAGACACGAGCUGACGACAACCAUGCAGCACCUGUUCUACAGUCCCUUGCGGGAGGGCCAACCUUUCGGCCGGCUUACAGCAGAAUUUCAAACCCUGGUAAGGUUCCUCGCUUGUCAUCGAAUUAAACCAUAUGCUCCACCGCUUGUGCGAGUCCCCGUCUAUUCCUUUGAGUUUUAGUCUUGCGACCGUACUUCCCAGGCGGCCUGCUUAACGCGUUAGCUUCGCCACUCCGAGGGUCGAUACUCGAAACAGCUAGCAGGCAUCGUUUAGGGCGUGGACUA